Molecule: long non-coding RNA, 4225 nt
Organism: Topomyia yanbarensis
Lineage: Eukaryota; Metazoa; Arthropoda; Insecta; Diptera; Culicidae
Exons: 2
Source: RefSeq, a predicted model, not a curated record
ACUACAUUCGAAAUAAGAACCCCUUGUAUCACUAAAGAAUAUCAAGCCAAUAAAAGCUGUACAAUAGGGGAAUUAUAGCUCAGUUCAAAUCAGUCAGUGUUCUGUGCUCUUGUGAGACUACUACAAUGUUCCUUUUACUCUUAAUCAGUUUCUUUACGACCGCUAGUGCACUUUACGAAAAUAAAUUUGUUGCUACCAAUGGUUGUCGGCAGUAUAAUUCAAACCACGGAUACAAUGUCGCGCAUCCAUUUUUCUCGACACUAGAAUUUGAAAACAUUAUACAACGACCAGGUAAAGAGAGAGAUGACAACCGCACCAUAAUUCGACUGGGAGUUUUGGCCAAAAACGAUGGACACAUUCGGCUUACAUGGACUCCGCAUCCUUUUAGCUCAAGGAAUAAACUGUAUGAAAUCGUCCUUUCGGGUUGGAGUAAUACCAACCACGAAGUGCGUUCGUACUAUACCAUCAAUGAAGCACAACGGGAUAGUGUUCAGGCGUACACGCAUCAAUCCAGUCUCGGAGCGCUGUCCGAGUUUGUGCCGUAUAUGUUCACGAUGGAAUUUCUCGGAGCGAAGGGUAUACGAUUUACGAAGGACGGUGACCGGAAACCAUUUCUUGAAGUGAAUGACUUGAAUGCGCUUCCCCACGAGUACAUAGGUUUCUGUAACUGGGAUGUUCCGGCUAUCUAUUUCUUUGAUUGUCCCUUGCUGGAUAAUGAGAUUUAAGAUAAUGAUCUAAAACUAGAAAUUCAAGGUCAUGCCUAAAGUAUUGCGAAAAUAUAUGUUUGAUUAAUGGAUGGAAAAUGCUGCACACGAUGUUCCAGAUUUUAAUGUAAAACUGCACUGAUGUAGUUAUUUAACAUCAGUGGCUCAUAAAGAGGUUUUUUUAAGAUUUUUUUGAACAUAAAAUCAACUUGAGAAACAAAUUAUCUUUUGUGUAAGUUUCAGCCCAUACAAGAUUCAGCCCGCAAUUUUUACCUGAAAUAAAUAAGUGAAAUACUUUCUUACUCGGAAGGCUUUUUUGCACAAGAAAGACUAUUAUCGUGAUUGAAAGUUGAAAUUUAAAAUAUUGUCGGGGACAAUCCAUCUCAUCGAUACAUGCGCUGAACUACUUGAGUGUGAUGGUCGACAAUCGGUUAAAUUACAACAGCCACGUCGACUAUGUAAGUGAGAAGGCUGCGAGGACAACUAACGCAUAGGCAAGGAUGACGCCGAAUCAUGGAGGAGCAAGACGCAGCAAGCGACGUUUCCUGGCGGGUGUGUCAUCCUCAACACUGAGGUAUGACGUACCGACCAGGGCUGCGCUGAACUCAAAGUGGAACCGGACGAAGUUGACAAGCAUGUUUCGCCUAAUGGCUUUUCGUGCCGCGUGUACGUACAGAACGAUAUCAUCGAAGGCGGUUUGCGUAAUUGCCGGAAUGGUUUCCAUCUGCAUCACUCACGUAGAAGACGUGGAAUGCUACCAGCGCAGAAAUACACGCAACAAGUGGGACAACGCGUAGAAAGGAAGGUGGACCCGCCAACUCAUCCCAAAUGUGUCGGUUUGGUUGCAUAGGAACCAUGGAGAGGUGAGCUUCCAUUUGACGCAGUUUUUGUCCGGGCACGGUUGCUUCCGGAAGUAGGGAAGCCCGGGGCUAGUUGGGGUAAGUUGGCGGAAUCCCCUUUUCUCCGUUUGUAAUAUACAUAAAGCGCUGUCUCUCAUUGUGAACCUCAAGUAAUGUGAAACGCAUUAUCCAAUGAGUUUUUGUUGCAAAACAUUUUGUUUAGUGGAAGCUGUGGGCGAUAUUGUGUUUUUGAACAUACUUUGUAAAUUUUCAUAAUUUUAAACAUUUUGUGUUAUUUAAGGUGGUUUUCAAUCUAAAGGGCGAACACGAAAUUAUUGCGACAGCGAAAAUGUCAUGCUAAUGUUUUUAUAAUGUUUAAACUCAAACCAAAAUUUUAGGGUAGUUUUAUACAUAUAUUCACUUCAAAAAUCAAAAGAAAAAUUAAUCGAUGGAGCCUUGAGUGUAAAAUUGAACGCAUUUUCGCUUGAUGCCCUCCAUCAAAGUCUUUACAGUGUCAUCCGGUAUCAGUUUCUCAGUUUUUUCCAUUUUCUUAACAUGCCCUUCUCGUCUUUGACUGUCUUCUUGCUGUUCCGAAGUUCCCGCUUCAUCAUUGCCCAGUACUGCUCCACCGGGCGCAGCUCCGGACAGUUUGGCGGAUUCAUGUCCUUUGGAACAAAAUGGACAGAAUUGGCCUCAUACCACUCCAGGACACUUUUAGAAUCUGGCCAAAAUAGCGGAGCUUCGUCGUGCUGCUGCAAGAACGGCAAAAAGCGCUUCUCGAGGCACUCAGAUUUGUAGAUCUCGCCAUUUACUGUGCUCUUUGUCACGAAAGGCUCACUCCUCAGUGCGCAAGAGCAGAUGGCCUGCCAAAUGAGAUAUUUGGAGGCGAACUUCGACAUUUUCUUCUUCUUAAAUUUGUCGUCCACAUAGAACUUGCUCUUGCCGGUGAAAAACUCCAACCCCGGAGUUUGCUUAAAAUCGGCUUUUAUAUACGUUUCGACGUCCAUCACACAGCAGCCAUAUUUUGUCAGCAUCUUCUCGUAGAGCUUCCGUGCCCGAGUUUUAGCCGUCGAUUGUUGCCGCUCAUCGCGGUUUGAGGAGUUCUGUACCUUGUAUGUAUGUAGUCCAGCUCUCUUCUUUGCAUUCUGGACGUAGCUCUGCGACAUGCUGAUCUUUUUAGCCAAAUCACGGCUUGAGACGUUGCACUGAUAAUAUAAAUUCGUAAAUAUAAUGAAAUCGAUCAUACAAUACACGAAUUCAUUCGUCGUUUUCUGCAACGAAGUUUUUCGUGCAUUCUAAAUAGUAGGUUUCGUUCAUUUCAUGAGCAAGAAUGGCCGCUUGGUGAACGAAAACUUUCGUAAAUUUUACACGUUUAAUGUAUACUGCACGAAUAUUAUCGUUGAUAACGACAUUAUUUUUCGUGAAUGAAACGAAAUGUUUUGUUUAUUUUAAUAAACGUGUGUGUAUACUACGAACGAUUUCGUUGGUCGCACGAAUUAAUUUCGUUUAUCUUAGAAAAGUGUUCGCAUUUAUUAUCCUCUUAUUGUUUUCAGUCGAUCUUUUGGGAUCGAUGCUUGACAACAUCGAUUUUUUUUAAUUUAAAAAAAUCGAUGUGGCCAAAUCGAUUUUAUUGUGGUACGAAGAAAUGGCCGCUGAUGAACAAAAGUUUUCGUAAAUUUUACUUAUUUAGUGUACAUUGCAAGAAUGUAAUCGUUGAUAACGACAUUAUUUUUCGUGAACGAAACGAAAUGUUUCGUUUGUUUCAAUAAAUGUUUGUGUAUAUUACGAACGACUUCGUUGGUCGCACAAAUUCAUUUCGUUCAUCUUUCGUAUUUUCGUAUUUAUUAUCUUCUUAUUUUUUCAUUCGAUCUUUUGGGAUCGAUGUUUGACAACACCGAUUUUUUAGUUAAAAAGACAGAUCUGGCAAAAUCGAUUUUAUUGUGAUAUGAAGAAAUGGUCGCUUGAUGAACGAAAGUUUUCGUGAAUUUUACUUAUUUAGUGUACAUUGCACGAAUGCUGUCGUUGAAAACGACAUUAAUUUUCGUGAAUGAAACGAAAUGUUUUGUUUAUUUUAAUAAACGUCUAUAUAUAUUACGAACAAUCUCGUUGAUCGCACGAAUUCAUUUCGUUCAUCUAAGAGAAAUUUUCGUAUUUAAUAACAUAUUCUUUUACAUUGCUCCGGCAGAGAAAAACUCAAAAUUAUUCAUGCAAAACCAUCGAGCGAUGGCUCAACUGAAUCCGUACUGCACCGGAUUCUGGAUCAACUAGAAGCGGACGAGGUUUAGAAAAUCUUCCUGAAACCGGUGGACACGGAUACGGCUACUAUAUAGACAGAUCGAGACCGUCGUGAAUAUCAACAAUUAUCUGACGUAUAGCAACAAUGACUCCAUAUUCCACCUCUAUUGAAGCUCUGUUGACGUUGACGGUUCGACGAAUGGUGCUCGUAAAUAUUAUAAAAAUAUUCGUAUAUAUCAGCGAACAAGUCGUUUGCCGAACGAAGCUGUUUCAUAAUAAGCCAACUAAAGUGGUUUCGUGGGUUUCACGAAAAACUCGUAAUAAAAAAUAAAUGUGUUUCAAUAGAACUACGAACGAUUCAUUAUAUGUACGAAAAAUUCGUAUAUUUUAUGAAAAUUAUCUGUACGAAACUAAUGCAUAGCGAUUUACGAAUAUAUUCUAUCAGUG